UACGGAGGGGACUAGCGUUGUUCGGAAUUACUGGGCGUAAAGCGCACGUAGGCGGCUUUGUUAGUCAGGGGUGAAAUCCCGAGGCUCAACCUCGGAACUGCCUUUGAUACUGCAAAUCUCGAGUCCGGAAGAGGUGAGUGGAAUUCCUAGUGUAGAGGUGAAAUUCGUAGAUAUUAGGAAGAACACCAGUGGCGAAGGCGGCUCACUGGUCCGGUACUGACGCUGAGGUGCGAAAGCGUGGGGAGCAAACAGG
RNAcentral lists this ribosomal RNA (253 nucleotides) under uncultured bacterium. RNAcentral describes it as "partial 16S ribosomal RNA". It matches the Rfam family "Bacterial small subunit ribosomal RNA", at positions 524 to 776 of the family's 1533-position model. The record is from RNAcentral.